RNAcentral lists this ribosomal RNA (458 nucleotides) under uncultured bacterium. RNAcentral describes it as "partial 16S ribosomal RNA". It matches the Rfam family "Bacterial small subunit ribosomal RNA", at positions 338 to 795 of the family's 1533-position model. The record is from RNAcentral.
CCUACGGGUGGCAGCAGUGAGGAAUAUUGGUCAAUGGGCGGGAGCCUGAACCAGCCAUGCCGCGUGAAGGCGAGUGCCCUACGGGCGUUAAACUUCUUUUGUGCGGGAGCAAUAAGGGCCACGCGUGGCCCGAUGAGAGUACCGCACGAAUAAGCAUCGGCUAACUCCGUGCCAGCAGCCGCGGUAAUACGGGGGAUGCGAGCGUUAUCCGGAUUUAUUGGGUUUAAAGGGUGCGUAGGCGGCGCUUCAGGUCAGCGGUGAAAUUGAGAGGCUCAACCUCUUCGAGCCGUUGAAACUGGUUGUCUUGAGUGAGCGAGAAGUAUGCGGAAUGCGUGGUGUAGCGGUGAAAUGCAUAGAUAUCACGCAGAACUCCGAUUGCGAAGGCAGCAUACCGGCGCUCAACUGACGCUCAUGCACGAAAGUGUGGGUAUCGAACAGGAUUAGAUACCCUUGUAGUC